UCAUCCUGUAUGCAUGAGAGAGAGAGGGAAAGGAAGAGAAAAGGAAAUAAAAAAAAAAAGAGAGAAGGAGAAGAAGAAAAAGAGAAGUGAGGAUCUUCAACUACCCGACGAGCCGAACGAUCCUCCACGCGCGUUGGAUGUUUCCGGCGCAGCUAGUUAUAGAAAAAGGUGUAUUAAUUAAAUAGCCAUGGAAGGGUUUGAGACCUAGCUUGGAAUUGAUUGUGUGGAAACCAAAUAGAAGGUAACACUAACGCGUUGGAAAGCUCGGAUCGGCGUUCCGACGAGCCUACGGCACGCUAAUAAGGAAAACCUCAUUUUAGCUUCGUUUGUCGCGAGCGAGGAUCGUGAUGGUUCAUAAAUCGCGGGAAGUGGAUUUCUCGCAUUUCGGCAUCAUUUAAAGGUUCUAGUUCGUGCGGGGUGGUCGAGAAUCGUGACGGGGACAGCGCGCUAUAGAUAGCGACAUCCAUUCAGUAUAGUGGUACCUUGUAUAUUUCAUCUGUUUACAGUUGAUGAAAGUAAAUGUAAAUUAUUCAUUUGAGAAAUGGCAAUGUAUAUAUUGGAAGAAUGAAUGUAAUAAUUAUGUAAGUUUUGUAUUUGAAUUAAAGUAAUCAAAAUACAAUGUAUGAAUGCUUUAGUUAGUUUA
Long non-coding RNA from Ananas comosus (pineapple), 643 nucleotides. RefSeq lists it as uncharacterized. Lineage: Eukaryota; Viridiplantae; Streptophyta; Magnoliopsida; Poales; Bromeliaceae. The record is from RefSeq and is a predicted model, not a curated record. The transcript is spliced from 3 exons.